AGUGAACGCUGGCGGUAGGCCUAACGCAUGCAAGUCGAACGGCAGCACAGUAAGAGCUUGCUCUUACGGGUGGCGAGUGGCGGACGGGUGAGGAAUACAUCGGAAUCUACUUUUUCGUGGGGGAUAACGUAGGGAAACUUACGCUAAUACCGCAUACGACCUACGGGUGAAAGCAGGGGAUCUUCGGACCUUGCGCGAUUGAAUGAGCCGAUGUCGGAUUAGCUAGUUGGCGGGGUAAAGGCCCACCAAGGCGACGAUCCGUAGCUGGUCUGAGAGGAUGAUCAGCCACACUGGAACUUAGACACGGUCCCGACUCCUACGGGAGGGAGCAGUGGGGAAUAUUGGACCAUGGGGGCAAACCUUGUCCAGCCAUACCGCGUGGGUGAAGAAGGCCUUCGGGUUGUAAAGCCCCUUUGUUGGGAAAGAAAAGCAGCAGGUUAAUACCCCGCUGUUCUGACGGUACCCAAAGAAUAAGCACCGGCUAACUUCGUG
RNAcentral lists this ribosomal RNA (492 nucleotides) under uncultured bacterium. RNAcentral describes it as "partial 16S ribosomal RNA". It matches the Rfam family "Bacterial small subunit ribosomal RNA", at positions 29 to 507 of the family's 1533-position model. The record is from RNAcentral.